Molecule: long non-coding RNA, 747 nt
Filed under: Gossypium raimondii (Peruvian cotton)
Lineage: Eukaryota; Viridiplantae; Streptophyta; Magnoliopsida; Malvales; Malvaceae
Description: long non-coding RNA (GRAI_LNC001635)
Source: RNAcentral
UUGAGCGCCUUUCGGGUUUUCACCUUAGCCUCUCCAUUUCUACUUUUUCCAUUUUUCAUUUUUCAUUUUCAUUUUUUCGCAUCUUUUUUCUUCUCUUCUUCUUCUUUUAUUUUUUCCUUUUUUUUUGCGACUCAAAGUGCCCUUUACGAGUUUUUACCUUGGUCAUCUCCUUCUUUAAGCAAAGCAAUUAUUGACUGAAUCUGAGUUUACAGGAUUAGACAAGUUUUUUACUAUCCAUCUUACUUAAUAUCAGUGCUCCUCCGGAAAAUGUCUUCUUUACAACAUAAGGACAUUCCCAAUUUGGCACUCAUUUUUCUCUAAAAUCCUUUUGUAGAGGAAGGAUCUUUUUCAAUACCAGGUCUCCCUCAUGGAAUUCUCUGGGACGAACCUUUUUGUUGUAAGCUCGAAUUAUCUGUUUUUGGGACAUUUGACCGUGAUGAAUAGCUUUUAGCCUUUUUCCUUCAAUUAAGUUCAACUGAUCGUAUUGAGGUUAGAUCUUCAUCCUACUUCAGCUCAGCUAAUACCCGGAGAAAAAGAAUUUCAACUUCAACAGAAAAAUCGUAAUAAGCUAAAGAGAAAGGCAUUGCCCCGGUGGAGGUUUUUUGUUCUUCUUUUUUCCUUUUUUUUAUUUUUUUUGUUUUUGUUUUUUUGUUUUGUUAUUUUUAUUAUUUUGUUUAUUAUUUUUUUUUUGCAUUGAAUCUGCACUCAUAGGAUUAGGCAAGUCCUGGUCAUCCUUUUCAAUCAGAA